RNAcentral lists this ribosomal RNA (305 nucleotides) under uncultured bacterium. RNAcentral describes it as "bacterial SSU rRNA". It matches the Rfam family "Bacterial small subunit ribosomal RNA", at positions 337 to 639 of the family's 1533-position model. The record is from RNAcentral.
UCCUACGGGGGGCAGCAGUGAGGAAUAUUGGUCAAUGGGCGCGAGCCUGAACCAGCCAAGUCGCGUGAGGGAAGACGGUCCUAUGGAUUGUAAACCUCUUUUGUCGGGGAGCAAAAGACGCCACGUGUGGCGUUCCGAGAGUACCCGAAGAAAAAGCAUCGGCUAACUCCGUGCCAGCAGCCGCGGUAAUACGGAGGAUGCGAGCGUUAUCCGGAUUUAUUGGGUUUAAAGGGUGCGCAGGCGGAGGUGCAAGUCAGCGGUCAAAUUGCGGGGCUCAACCCCGUCGAGCCGUUGAAACCGGCAGA